RNAcentral lists this transfer RNA (77 nucleotides) under Gammaproteobacteria bacterium. RNAcentral describes it as "tRNA-Arg". It matches the Rfam family "tRNA". Rfam says of the family: Transfer RNA (tRNA) molecules are approximately 80 nucleotides in length. Their secondary structure includes four short double-helical elements and three loops (D, anti-codon, and T loops). Further hydrogen bonds mediate the characteristic L-shaped molecular structure. tRNAs have two regions of fundamental functional importance: the anti-codon, which is responsible for specific mRNA codon recognition, and the 3' end, to which the tRNAs corresponding amino acid is attached (by aminoacyl-tRNA synthetases). tRNAs cope with the degeneracy of the genetic code in two manners: having more than one tRNA (with a specific anti-codon) for a particular amino acid; and 'wobble' base-pairing, i.e. permitting non-standard base-pairing at the 3rd anti-codon position. RNAcentral also lists the same sequence under 1 other name. Lineage: Bacteria; Pseudomonadati; Pseudomonadota; Gammaproteobacteria. The record is from RNAcentral.
GCCUUUGUAGCUCAGCUGGAUAGAGCGCUCCCCUCCUAAGGGAGAAGUCGUGAGUUCGAAUCUCGCCAAGGGCACCA